GAGUUUGAUCCUGGCUCAGAACGAACGCUGGCGGCAGGCUUAACACAUGCAAGUCGAGCGCCCUUUUCGGAGGGAGCGGCAGACGGGUGAGUAACGCGUGGGAAUCUACCUAUCUCUAGGGAAUAACUCAGGGAAACUUGUGCUAAUACCCUAUACGUCCUUCGGGAGAAAGAUUUAUCGGAGAUGGAUGAGCCCGCGUUGGAUUAGCUAGUUGGUGGGGUAAAGGCCUACCAAGGCGACGAUCCAUAGCUGGUCUGAGAGGAUGAUCAGCCACACUGGGACUGAGACACGGCCCAGACUCCUACGGGAGGCAGCAGUGGGGAAUAUUGGACAAUGGGCGCAAGCCUGAUCCAGCCAUGCCGCGUGAGUGAUGAAGGCCCUAGGGUUGUAAAGCUCUUUCACCGGUGAAGAUAAUGACGGUAACCGGAGAAGAAGCCCGGGCUAACUUCGUGCCAGCAGCCGCGGUAAUACGAAGGGGGCUAGCGUUGUUCGGAUUUACUGGGCGUAAAGCGCACGUAGGCGGAUUGGUCAGUUAGGGGUGAAAUCCCAGGGCUCAACCCUGGAACUGCCUUUAAUACUGCCAGUCUUGAGUAUGGAAGAGGUGAGUGGAAUUCCGAGUGUAGAGGUGAAAUUCGUAGAUAUUCGGAGGAACACCAGUGGCGAAGGCGGCUCACUGGUCCAUUACUGACGCUGAGGUGCGAAAGCGUGGGAAGCAAACAGGAUUAGG
Molecule: ribosomal RNA, 727 nt
Filed under: Ochrobactrum sp. KAs3-R9
Lineage: Bacteria; Pseudomonadati; Pseudomonadota; Alphaproteobacteria; Hyphomicrobiales; Brucellaceae
Description: bacterial SSU rRNA
Rfam family: Bacterial small subunit ribosomal RNA
Source: RNAcentral